AUGCUAACCACAGGAACCGCUGGCUAUAAAAGCCCCCAGGCUGGGGACUCAGCCCCCAGGGCCAGUCAAUUCUGGAUGUUCUUCAAACCAUGGACCAGACGCAAGCCACGUUCUGCUGAGAACCAGACUGAAAUUCACCGUCCACCUUCGCUCCACCCUAGCCUCCUAGUCCCAAGCCUGGCUGUGCGCACAGCUAGGGCAUGUGAGAUGUGUAUUCACUUGGUCCAUGCACGUCACUCACACGCCUUGGAAAGCAAGGACGGGUUUUGAAAGCCCAACCUUGUAGAGAAGGAAUUGGGCUGGGUUCAGUUCCUGCCUAUAGACUCCACAUGUGACCUUUGGCAAGUCACUUAGGCCAAGAAUUUCAGAAGUGUCCAGUGAUUUUGGGUACCCCAACUUCAGACAACUUAAAAGGGGCCUGAUUGUCAGACAGGUCCAGAGCACCCAGCUCUGAAAGUCAGGCACCUUCCAGGCAUCUCAAGUUGGGCACCCAGAAACUGAGACAAUCAAAAAACGAUUAAGCAUUUGGGUCUUAAUCUCUGUCUCUCAGCCUCCUACCUGUAAUGGGGGGAUAAUAAUACCAUCUCUCUCCCAUCUUGUCUCUUUCUGGUCUCAACAAACUAAGUUUUUCGGGGCAUGAACUGUCAUUAGCACGAGUCUGCACAGGGCAUAGCAAGCUGGGGCCCAGAUCUUCAUGUUGGCCUCUAGAGGCUAUUUCUGAAAAGAAAUAGUAUUAUUAUAAACAUAUUAUUCUUUCAUACAUCAAGAUUUGAGGAGCAAAACCCAGGGAAUCAAUGCACACCAUACCCCUCACCGGCCCUUUGUCCUAAGGGACAUCCCGAACACACAAGACCCGAUUUCCCAGCACAAAUCUGAGGAUGCUUUUAUGGUUCGUUGCUGUAAAAUAUUGACAGCAAAAUCACUUGUGAUAACUGGGAAGCUGUCGAGGGCUGGCAGAACAUACCCUUAGCAAGGAAAUGAUUCCCACUUCAUAUCAGGCGCCUUACUUAGCUGUGUUUUGCCUGUGGGUUUGUGCUGUGCACUGUAAAAGCCAGCACUACAUGUCCAUGGGACCAUCAGACCCUAUGUGACAAGGUGGGAAUUUUCGGUAAUAUUUUAUGAUGCCUAUGCGUGCCUCAGUUUCCCUCUGUACUUUGCAUUGCUACCUAGUGGGGGCAAAUGGGUUAAGUCUGCUCUUGGGGCAGUGCAGGAGACAUGAGGUGUGCCUGUCAUCUGGUUGCAGGAGGCAGACUGAAUGGCUCAUUAAAAG
RNAcentral lists this long non-coding RNA (1270 nucleotides) under Chrysemys picta bellii (western painted turtle). RNAcentral describes it as "lncRNA (ENSCPBG00000025767.1)". The record is from RNAcentral. Lineage: Eukaryota; Metazoa; Chordata; Testudines; Emydidae.